This 4206-nucleotide ribosomal RNA is filed under the name Triticum aestivum (bread wheat). RNAcentral's name for it is "partial small subunit ribosomal RNA". Lineage: Eukaryota; Viridiplantae; Streptophyta; Magnoliopsida; Poales; Poaceae. The record is from RNAcentral.
AUGACGGUCAUAAGUUGGAACUCCCGGGGCCUCGGGCAGCCCCGGACAGUUCAAGAGCUUGUGUGCUUAGUGCGCACGUACCGUCCAUCUCUAGUUUUUAUCUCGGAAACUAGAAAGUGCGAGAAUUAUGUAAAUAAAUUGCGUUCGAGACUAGGUCUCAAGCACUGCAUCUCCCAUUUUGGGAAUGGAAAAGGUGCAGGUAUAGCUCUCUUCUAUGAUGAGCAAGUUGAAAUAAAGAAACUCGCUGUUGGCCCGCGUUACAUUGAUGUGUUGAUCCGACUCAAUCCCCAUGCUCAGCAAUGGAGGGGUACUUUUAUCUAUGGAGAACCUAAGGCUAGCGAGAGACACCAUAUGUGGGAUCUCCUAAGGAGGAUCAAACCUUUGGCAGACAAGCCUUGGCUCAUGAUCGGUGACUUCAAUGAAACAUCAUGGCAACAUGAGCACUUCUCAAAAACCACCAGAAGUGAAAGGAACAUGGCCAACUUCAGAGAAGUUCUUGCUGAUUGCAGCUUGAUAGAUCUCGGUUUUAAAGGUCCCAAAUGGACCUAUGAUAACAAGCAGAAAGGAGUGGAUAAUGUGAAAGCAAGAUUAGACCGUGGAGUGGCUGAUCAUAGAUGGAGCUCUAUGUUUCCGAGAGCUUCUAUUGAGCACAUUUGUACUUCCAGAUCUGACCACCUCCCUUUGCUUCUCAGGUUUGGUCAGAGGAAAGAGCGGAGACCAAUAAAGAAAGGGUUCCGUUAUGAGUACAUGUGGGAGAGGAUGGAAUCACUAACAGAUGCAAUAGUGAACUCUUGGGAGGACAAGGGGACUGCUGGUGAUCUCUGCGAAUUUGGUAAAAAACUGUCGAAGUUGCAACAGUCUUUAAAUUCUUGGGCCAAAAAGAAUUUCGGCUCCAUUGUAAAGCAAACUGCCAUGUUGAGGAAUCAGUUGGAUAAGUUGUGGAUGCUUCCAGCUUCAGUUGCUAGGGACAGGGAGAUUAAAUCUGUUUGCAAGAAUCUGGACGAAAUGCUCCACCGGGAAGAGAUGAUGUGGAGGCAACGUUCAAGAGCUUUAUGGCUGCAGGAGGGGGACAAAAAUACCAAGUAUUUUCAGCGUAAGGCUACGUGGAGACGUAAGAAAAACACAAUCAGCAAAUUAAAGGAUGAGAAUGGGAAUUGGGUGGAAGAGCGUGCCAAACUGCAGGAGAUGGCGACUAGAUUUUUCAAACAGCUAUAUACCAAAGAAGAAGGAGUCGAUCCCAGUGUCAUUGUGGACGGCCUGAAUGUAAGAGUUACGGAUGAAAUGAACCAGUCCUUGUUAAAGGAGUUUUCUGAGAAGGAGGUCAGUGACGCGCUAUUUCAAAUAGGUCCUCUGAAAGCUCCUGGUCCCGAUGGUUUCCCAGCCAGAUUCUUCCAAAGAAAUUGGAGCACGGUCAAGAUAGACGUGGUGAGUGCGGUCCUGAAGUUCUUCAAGGAGGGGGUCAUUCCGGAGGGUAUCAACAAUACUGUCAUAGUGCUUAUCCCAAAAAGCAAUAACCCCGAGUACCUUAAGGACUUCAGGCCCAUAAGCCUAUGUAAUGUGAUAUACAAGGUAAUAUCAAAGUGCAUGGUCAAUCGCUUGCGGCCUUUUUUGGACAAGAUUGUCUCAGAGACUCAAAGUGCUUUUAUCACAGGGCGUUUGAUAACAGACAACGCCACUAUUGCCUUUGAAUGUUUUCACAAAAUCCAUCACAGCAAAAAUCCUGCCAAUACGCAUUGCACCCUCAAAUUGGAUUUGGCAAAAGCUUAUGAUAGGGUAGACUGGGGAUUCAUGGAAAAGACUUUGCUGAAGCUCGGUUUUGACCACAGAUGGGUCUGUUGGGUGAUGACUUGUGUGAAGUCCGUGAGGUAUUCUGUUAAAUACAAUGGGGAACUGCUCGAGAUGUUUCUUCCGACGAGAGGUCUCCGGCAGGGAGAUCCGUUGAGCCUGUACCUGUUCCUUUUCGUGGCGGAGGGCCUUACUAGCCUUCUGAAUGAAGAGAUUCGACAAGGAAGAAUUACCCCUCUGAAGAUUGCUAGGGGAAGCCCUGGAAUCUCCAACCUCCUGUUCGUCGACGACAGCCUCCUCUUUUUCAAGGCAUGUAGAGAGGAGGCGGUUAAUAUGAGGCAUAUCCUCGAUGAGUUUCAGAAGGGGUCGGGACAACUGCUCAGCAACAGCAAAUGCUCCUUUCUUUUUAGCGAAAUGUGCCCGGCUGUGACCCAACAGAAUAUUAAAUCUGAGCUAGAGAUAAAUUCACACACCUUUGAUAGCAAAUACCUUGGUCUGCCCACUCCAGAAGGGAGAAUGAAGGAGGCUGUGUUCCAACCGAUUAUGGAAAGGUUUGUUAAGAGACGUUCAGUUUGGUCUGAGAGGUUUAUGUCCCUUGCGGCAAAACAGGUCUUAGUUAAAUCUGUCAUGCAGGCCCUCUCUACCUACUGUAUGGGAGUGUUCAAAAUGACCCAAAGCUUCUGCGACAAAUACGAAAAACUGAUUUGGGAUUUUUGGUGGGGGGAUGAGAAUGGUCAUCGGAAAGUGCACUGGAUGCCAUGGGAAAGUAUGAUAAGACCAAAAAGAGGUGGGGGCAUUGGGUUCAAAGAUAUGUCUCUGUUCAACCAAGCCCUUCUUGCUAAACAAGCUUGGAGACUGAUUCAUAGACCUGAUUCACUGUGCGCGAGAGUUUUGAAAUCUAAGUACUAUCCGCACGGUGAUUUGGUAGAUACGAUGUUUGCUUCAGACGCAUCUCCUGUCUGGCGGGGCAUUGAGCAUGGUCUGGAUCUUCUCAAAGCAGGCCUUGUUUGGAGGAUUGGUAACGGCAGGAAAGUGAACAUCCAACGAGACAACUGGAUCCUACGGGACGAGGGUCUCAAACCAGCUACCUUCAUCCGUCGCUCCAGACUUCGGUGGGUUAACCAAUUAAUGCAACCAGAUGGUAGUGGCUGGAACAAGGAACUGAUCCAUCAGGUGUUCUACCCUUUUGAUGCUGACGCUAUAUGUAGUAUUAAGUUACCAGCUUCUGAUGCUGAGGACACUCUAGCUUGGCACUAUGAAAAAUCUGGAAACUUUACGGUUCGCAGCGCAUACAGACUGGCUUAUUCCAUCAAGUAUGAAGCCUGCCUGUCGGCAUCCAGCUCUACAAACAAUGCCAACGACCGAAGCAUUUGGGUCAUUAUUUGGAAAGCAAAGGUGCUAGAGAAAAUUAAGAUCUUUGGGUGGAGGGUGGCCACUAAUACCUUGCCUACGAAGAAGAACAAGUGGAAACGCACACUUGAAGUUCAUAGCACUUGUAACAUCUGUGGUAAUGAUGAAGAGGAUGAAUUCCAUGCCAUCGUUUCAUGCACUAAGAGUAAGGCUCUGAGAAAUGAAAUGAGAGGGAUCAGGGACCUGCCAAGUGAAAAACUCUUUGGGUACACCGGUGUGGAUUGGUUGCAAAACCUUCUUCUCCCUUGCAAUUCUGAGACUAGGUCGAAAGUCCUUUUACUUCUCUGGCGGUGCUGGUUUCUUAGAGAUGAUUGCGUUCAUAACGAAGGAAAGGAGUUCAUUGGCCGCUCUGUUCUGUUCCUUCAGCAGCUUGAAAUCGAGUUGAUCAGCUGCAGUACCACUUCUGACACUAUGAAUGGCAAAGGAGUCUGCCGGCAAACGCCCCAAAUUUUGGCCGGCGAAGGACAUUCUCUUGUUCUACCUGGUUCGGGCGCGACCGUCGUCGCAGAUUCUGUCCUCUGGACUGCUCCUCCGGCUGGUACAGUUAAGCUGAAUUCGGAUGCGUCCUUCUUAUCUAGCAGUAGCAAUUCCUAUGUUGGGGCGGUCGCUCGGGAUCAUAAGGGUGCUAUUAUAUUUUCACUGUCUAAGAGGACCGAUUGCUGUUCCGGCGUUGAGGAAGCAGAAGCUCUAGCUCUUUUGGCGGGUCAGCGGGCUCUGUCUGUUAUCUACAGGGGGCCUCUGAUUGCUAAAACUGACUGCUCCGUCCUCGCAUGUGAGCUGCAACCUGGCUCUAUAUGCAGGUCAGCCUGGUUCCCUGCGUUAUGUGAUAUUAAGAUGGAGUUCCUGAAGUUUCAGGCUGUUCAGAUUGCCCAUUCUAAGCGAAUCAGGAACAAACUAGCUCACGGGCUGGCAGCGCGUGCUAGGAAUGGCGAGAAUAUGCAGAUGGUGGCGCAAGUCCCUGAUGAUCUGAUGGACGUGAUGAUGGCUGAUGCCUUGUCAUGCCAAGAGUAA